This 789-nucleotide ribosomal RNA is filed under the name uncultured archaeon. RNAcentral's name for it is "bacterial SSU rRNA". It matches the Rfam family "Archaeal small subunit ribosomal RNA", at positions 85 to 879 of the family's 1478-position model. The record is from RNAcentral.
ACUGCUCAGUAACACGUGGACAAUCUACCCUGAAGUGGAGAAUAAUCCCGGGAAACUGGGGGUAAUACUCCAUAGUUCGUUAUUACUGGAAUGUUUUUCGAACGAAAGAUCCGUCGCUUCAGGAUGAGUCUGCGGCCGAUUAGGUAGUUGUUGGGGUAAUUGCCCAACAAGCCUGUAAUCGGUACGGGUUGUGGGAGCAAGAGCCCGGAGAUGGAUUCUGAGACACGAAUCCAGGCCCUACGGGGCGCAGCAGGCGCGAAAACUUUACCAUGCGGGCAACCGUGAUAAGGAAACCCCGAGUGCCAGCACAGGCUGGCUGUCCGCCAGUUUAAACAACUGGCGAAGAAAGGGCCGGGCAAGACCGGUGCCAGCCGCCGCGGUAAUACCGGCGGCUCGAGAGGUGGCCGCUAUUACUGGGCUUAAAGGGUCCGUAGCUUGAUAAUAGGGUCCCUUGAGAAAUCCGCCGGCUUAACUGGCGGGCGUUCAGGGGAAACUUGUUUUCUAGGGACCGGGAGAGGUGAGGGGUACUGCCGGGGUAGGAGUGAAAUCCUGUAAUCCCGGUGGGACCACCUAUGGCGAAGGCAUCUCACCAGAACGGGUCCGACAGUGAGGGACGAAAGCUGGGGGAGCAAACCGGAUUAGAUACCCGGGUAGUCCCAGCUGUAAACGAUGCGCGUUAGGUGUGUCAGUGAUCACGUGUCACUGAGAUGCCGAAGGGAAACCGUGAAACGCGCCGCCUGGGGAGUACGGUCGCAAGGCUGAAACUUAAAGGAAUUGGCGGGGGAGCAC